UAUGAACGCUGGCGGCAUGCCUAACACAUGCAAGUCGAACGAAGGCUUCGGCCUUAGUGGCGCACGGGUGCGUAACGCGUGGGAAUCUGCCCUCAGGUUCGGAAUAACAGCGAGAAAUUGCUGCUAAUACCGGAUGAUAUCGCGAGAUCAAAGAUUUAUCGCCUGAGGAUGAGCCCGCGUAGGAUUAGCUAGUUGGUGUGGUAAAGGCGCACCAAGGCGACGAUCCUUAGCUGGUCUGAGAGGAUGAUCAGCCACACUGGGCCUGAGACACGGCCCAGACUCCUACGGGAGGCAGCAGUGGGGAAUAUUGGACAAUGGGCGAAAGCCUGAUCCAGCAAUGCCGCGUGAGUGAUGAAGGCCUUAGGGUUGUAAAGCUCGUUUACCCGGGAUGAUAAUGCCAGUACCGGGAGAAUAAGCUCCGGCUAACUCCGUGCCAGCCGCCGCAGUAA
Molecule: ribosomal RNA, 449 nt
Filed under: uncultured bacterium
Lineage: Bacteria
Description: partial 16S ribosomal RNA
Rfam family: Bacterial small subunit ribosomal RNA
Source: RNAcentral